GAUGAACGCUGGCGGCGUGCCUAAUACAUGCAAGUCGAGCGAACAGAUAAGGAGCUUGCUCCUUUGACGUUAGCGGCGGACGGGUGAGUAACACGUGGAUAACCUACCUAUAAGACUGGGAUAACUUCGGGAAACCGGAGCUAAUACCGGAUAACAUAUUGAACCGCAUGGUUCAAUAGUGAAAGGCGGCUUUGCUGUCACUUAUAGAUGGAUCCGCGCCGUAUUAGCUAGUUGAUAAGGUAACGGCUUACCAAGGCAACGAUACGUAGCCGACCUGAGAGGGUGAUCGGCCACACUGGAACUGAGACACGGUCCAGACUCCUACGGGAGGCAGCAGUAGGGAAUCUUCCGCAAUGGGCGAAAGCCUGACGGAGCAACGCCGCGUGAGUGAUGAAGGUCUUCGGAUCGUAAAACUCUGUUAUCAGGGAAGAACAAAUGUGUAAGUAACUGUGCACAUCUUGACGGUACCUGAUCAGAAAGCCACGGCUAACUACGUG
Molecule: ribosomal RNA, 497 nt
Filed under: uncultured bacterium
Lineage: Bacteria
Description: partial 16S ribosomal RNA
Rfam family: Bacterial small subunit ribosomal RNA
Source: RNAcentral